Molecule: long non-coding RNA, 697 nt
Organism: Neolamprologus brichardi
Lineage: Eukaryota; Metazoa; Chordata; Actinopteri; Cichliformes; Cichlidae
Source: RefSeq, a predicted model, not a curated record
UCCCCCGGUUCCCUCUGACCCAUCUGACAGCUCAAAGUGGGCCACCGCAUCACUGAUACCCAGCGAUGGAUCUGGAUCAAGGGAAAUCGGGGGGAUCUCGAAAACUUCAUCCCCCAGACUAGGAGUAUGAAAUGUCUGCUGUAUGUGCAGGAGAAGAGGUCAUUUUGAGGGUUCCAGUCAGAGUCAAAUAUAACACAAGUGUCAGCAGCAGUUAGGUUAAUACCCAGGCCACCAGCGCGGGUACACAGCAGGAAGACAAAGCGGUCUGAGUCGGGUUUGCUGAAACGAUCGAUGGCAGCCUGUCGCAAGUUCCCACGCACUCUACCAUCAAUUCGCUCAUAAAGAAAAACUGCAACAUAUACACUGCGGUCAUCAUACCUCUUGUUGAUGAGGUAGUCCUCCAGAAUGUCUAAGCAGCGCACCAUCUGGGAGAAGAUGAGCACUUUGUGGCCACCAGCCUUGAGGCGAGGCAGCAGCUUGUCCAGUAGCACCAGCUUACCAGCCGACCGAAUCAGAGCCUGCAAAUGGAAGUCAGGGGCCAGGGGGUCGUACACCUCCCGCAACUCCGCUACGAUCUUCUCCUCCGCACCUGAACAUAACAACGAGAACAUUUUGGUUUUAAAUAAAUAUGGUACCUGCUGGCAAAACCUGCAGUGCUGCCGCUGUAUUUUAGAAACAUCACAUGCUAAUAACAUCU